This 475-nucleotide ribosomal RNA is filed under the name uncultured bacterium. Its description in RNAcentral is "bacterial SSU rRNA". It matches the Rfam family "Bacterial small subunit ribosomal RNA", at positions 48 to 519 of the family's 1533-position model. The record is from RNAcentral.
UUAACACAUGCAAGUCGAGGGGCAGCAUAACACUUCGGUGUUGAUGGCGACCGGCGCACGGGUGCGUAACACGUAUAGAACCUACCCAUAACAGGGGGAUAGCCCAGAGAAAUUUGGAUUAAUACCCCAUAGUGUAUUAAUGAGGCAUCUCAUUUUUAUUAAAGAUUUAUCGGUUAUGGAUGGCUAUGCGUCCUAUUAGUUUGUUGGUGAGGUAAUGGCUCACCAAGGCUACGAUAGGUAGGGGUUCUGAGAGGAAUGUCCCCCACACUGGUACUGAGACACGGACCAGACUCCUACGGGAGGCAGCAGUGAGGAAUAUUGGACGAUGGGCGCAAGCCUGAUCCAGCCAUGCCGCGUGCAGGAAGAAGGCUUUCUAGUUGUAAACUGCUUUUAUUCACGAGGAAUAUGUCCCUUGCGAGGGAUUUUGACGUUAGUGUUUGAAUAAGCACCGGCUAACUCCGUGCCAGCAGCCGCG